Molecule: ribosomal RNA, 889 nt
Filed under: Halobacterium sp.
Lineage: Archaea; Methanobacteriati; Methanobacteriota; Halobacteria; Halobacteriales; Halobacteriaceae
Description: bacterial SSU rRNA
Rfam family: Archaeal small subunit ribosomal RNA
Source: RNAcentral
CAGCGGAAGCUCAGUAACACGUGGCCAAACUACCCUGUGGAUGGGAACAAUCUCGGGAAACUGAGGCUAAUUCCCAAUAACGCUCCAGCCCUGGAACGGGCGGAGCUGGAAACGCUACGGCGCCACAGGAUGUGGCUGCGGUCGAUUAGGUAGACGGUGGGGUAACGGCCCACCGUGCCAAUAAUCGGUACGGGUUGUGAGAGCAAGAGCCCGGAGACGGAAUCUGAGACAAGAUUCCGGGCCCUACGGGGCGCAGCAGGCGCGAAACCUUUACACUGUACGCAAGUGCGAUAAGGGGACUCCGAGUGUGAAGGCAUAGAGCCUUCACUUUUGUACACCGUAAGGUGGUGUACGAAUAAGGGCUGGGCAAGACCGGUGCCAGCCGCCGCGGUAAUACCGGCAGCCCGAGUGAUGGCCGAUAUUAUUGGGCCUAAAGCGUCCGUAGCUGGCCGGACAAGUCCGUUGGGAAAUCUGUUCGCUUAACGAGCAGGCGUCCAGCGGAAACUGUUCGGCUUGGGACCGGAAGACCUGAGGGGUACGUCCGGGGUAGGAGUGAAAUCCUGUAAUCCUGGACGGACCACCGGUGGCGAAAGCGCCUCAGGAGGACGGAUCCGACAGUGAGGGACGAAAGCUAGGGUCUCGAACCGGAUUAGAUACCCGGGUAGUCCUAGCUGUAAACGAUGCCCGCUAGGUGGUGGCGCAGGCUACGAGCCUGCGCUGUGCCGUAGGGAAGCCGAGAAGCGGGCCGCCUGGGAAGUACGUCUGCAAGGAUGAAACUUAAAGGAAUUGGCGGGGGAGCACUACAACCGGAGGAGCCUGCGGUUUAAUUGGACUCAACGCCGGACAUCUCACCAGCUCCGACAGUAGUAAUGACCGGUCAGGUUGAUGA